CAAAGCACUUUGAAGAGAGAGUUAAAGAGGACGUGAAACCGGUGAGGUGGAAACGGACAGAGCCGGCGUAUCUGGCCUGUAUUCAGCCGCGGGCUUGCUGCCGUCAUGUGCACUCGUCUCCAGACUGGAACGGUGCGCUGUCUGGCGGCAGGCUUGUGGUGCAUUUGCAGGUGGAGUGCGCUGAGGCGUUCGGCGCAGCGGUAUGAACUCGGCUCAGAGGCCAGCCCAGCAAUGGGUCUGGAACCCGGGCCGUGGGGAGUGCUGUUUGUGCUGGAUGUACGCUGUGGGCGAUGGUUUCGGGCUUGGGUGGGUGCCGAGCUGGAGGUCGGUGGCGGUCGCGUGCGACACGUGCCAGCACUCAGUUCGGUCCUGCUCGAGCUCACAAGCGCCUGUCCUCGGUGUAAAAGCCGGUCAUCUGUCCGACCCGUCUUGAAACACGGACCAAGGAGUUUAGCGUGUGCGCGAGUCAAUGGGCGUUCAAAACCCAGAGGCGCAAUGAAAGUGAAGGCAUCCCUUGUGGAGCUGAUGUGUGAUCCUGGCCACCACGGUGUGCCGGGCGCAACAUGGUCCCGUUCUGAUCGCUUGCGAUGGGGCGGAGACAGAGCGUACGCGCUGAGACCCGAAAGAUGGUGAACUAUUCCUGAGCAGGAUGAAGCCAGAGGAAACUCUGGUGGAAGUCCGAAGCGAUUCUGACGUGCAAAUCGAUCGUCUGACUUGGGUAUAUGGGCGAAAGACUAAUCGAACCAUCUAGUAUCUGG
This 758-nucleotide ribosomal RNA is filed under the name Scutellonema bradys. RNAcentral's name for it is "eukaryotic LSU rRNA". It matches the Rfam family "Eukaryotic large subunit ribosomal RNA", at positions 367 to 954 of the family's 3401-position model. The record is from RNAcentral. Lineage: Eukaryota; Metazoa; Nematoda; Chromadorea; Rhabditida; Hoplolaimidae.